RNAcentral lists this ribosomal RNA (1276 nucleotides) under Salmonella enterica subsp. enterica serovar Infantis. RNAcentral's name for it is "partial 23S ribosomal RNA". It matches the Rfam family "Bacterial large subunit ribosomal RNA", at positions 1545 to 2802 of the family's 2925-position model. The record is from RNAcentral. Lineage: Bacteria; Pseudomonadati; Pseudomonadota; Gammaproteobacteria; Enterobacterales; Enterobacteriaceae.
UCACUUUAACACUGAGGCGUGAUGACGAGGCACUACGGUGCUGAAGCAACAAAUGCCCUGCUUCCAGGAAAAGCCUCUAAGCAUCAGGUAACAUCAAAUCGUACCCCAAACCGACACAGGUGGUCAGGUAGAGAAUACCAAGGCGCUUGAGAGAACUCGGGUGAAGGAACUAGGCAAAAUGGUGCCGUAACUUCGGGAGAAGGCACGCUGACAUGUAGGUGAAGUGAUUUACUCAUGGAGCUGAAGUCAGUCGAAGAUACCAGCUGGCUGCAACUGUUUAUUAAAAACACAGCACUGUGCAAACACGAAAGUGGACGUAUACGGUGUGACGCCUGCCCGGUGCCGGAAGGUUAAUUGAUGGGGUCAGCGCAAGCGAAGCUCCUGAUCGAAGCCCCGGUAAACGGCGGCCGUAACUAUAACGGUCCUAAGGUAGCGAAAUUCCUUGUCGGGUAAGUUCCGACCUGCACGAAUGGCGUAAUGAUGGCCAGGCUGUCUCCACCCGAGACUCAGUGAAAUUGAACUCGCUGUGAAGAUGCAGUGUACCCGCGGCAAGACGGAAAGACCCCGUGAACCUUUACUAUAGCUUGACACUGAACAUUGAGCCUUGAUGUGUAGGAUAGGUGGGAGGCUUUGAAGCGUGGACGCCAGUCUGCGUGGAGCCGACCUUGAAAUACCACCCUUUAAUGUUUGAUGUUCUAACGUGGAUCCGUAAUCCGGGUUGCGGACAGUGUCUGGUGGGUAGUUUGACUGGGGCGGUCUCCUCCUAAAGAGUAACGGAGGAGCACGAAGGUUGGCUAAUCCUGGUCGGACAUCAGGAGGUUAGUGCAAUGGCAUAAGCCAGCUUGACUGCGAGCGUGACGGCGCGAGCAGGUGCGAAAGCAGGUCAUAGUGAUCCGGUGGUUCUGAAUGGAAGGGCCAUCGCUCAACGGAUAAAAGGUACUCCGGGGAUAACAGGCUGAUACCGCCCAAGAGUUCAUAUCGACGGCGGUGUUUGGCACCUCGAUGUCGGCUCAUCACAUCCUGGGGCUGAAGUAGGUCCCAAGGGUAUGGCUGUUCGCCAUUUAAAGUGGUACGCGAGCUGGGUUUAGAACGUCGUGAGACAGUUCGGUCCCUAUCUGCCGUGGGCGCUGGAGAACUGAGGGGGGCUGCUCCUAGUACGAGAGGACCGGAGUGGACGCAUCACUGGUGUUCGGGUUGUCAUGCCAAUGGCACUGCCCGGUAGCUAAAUGCGGAAGAGAUAAGUGCUGAAAGCAUCUAAGCACGAAACUUGCCCCGA